AGCUACUACUAAUACUCACAGCUGACAAUUACUGAGCACUUGCUCCGUGCCAGGAAUCACGGAGGCACCUCGCAUGCAUUUCCUCAAUACUCCCUCCCAGUAACGGCGAGGACACAAAACUGGUAGAGCCAGGACUGGAAUCCAGGCAGGCCCCAAGGCACUCCAGUGGAGCCUGCCAAGGAGGGCAGGCUACCAUGCUAAUGAGGUCCAGUAUUUGACCACCACUCCUAGUUGAGCAAAUUAACAGAAAACCUAAAACUAAACUUAAAAUCUAAAAAUUUGAGCAAAUGCAUAAAAAGCAGCUGUUAAAAUGGAUCAUAAAUCUUGCAUCACUCGCUGGAAAACCACUCAAAAUAAACGUCUCUGAGACAUGGCCUCUGAGGAGGGCACUCCGUGUGGCUCGUAUCACCCUGGUGACAAACCAC
RNAcentral lists this long non-coding RNA (425 nucleotides) under Homo sapiens (human). Its description in RNAcentral is "HSALNT0066988". Lineage: Eukaryota; Metazoa; Chordata; Mammalia; Primates; Hominidae. The record is from RNAcentral.